Molecule: ribosomal RNA, 194 nt
Filed under: uncultured bacterium
Lineage: Bacteria
Description: partial 16S ribosomal RNA
Rfam family: Bacterial small subunit ribosomal RNA
Source: RNAcentral
ACUCCUACGGGAGGCAGCGGUAAGGAAUAUUGGUCAAUGGACGCAAGUCUGAACCAGCCAUGCCGCGUGAAGGAUUAAGGUCCUCUGGAUUGUAAACUUCUUUUAUAUGGGACGAAAAAAGGUCUUUCUAGACCCCUUGACGGUACCAUAUGAAUAAGCACCGGCUAACUCCGUGCCAGCAGCCGCGGUAAUAC